UAUGGUAUCUACUGUGCAGGGGUUCUGCUUCUAGUUUCCAGUUUGCUGCUGCAAGCAGCUGGAAUGACCUCACGCCUUCAUUCCCCGACCUUCAAUAACUCAUUACAAACGGACGUCGACAGGCAAGUGGCCAAAUGUCUUGGGGAACUGAGCACAGAUGAAGUCUGCCGCUGGUUUACCAAUAUCGGACUGCAGAAAUGUCUUCCUUUCAUCCGAGAUGUAAACCUGUGUGGAGCAGACGUAGCAUCGGUGGAUGUGAACACUCUGGACGUCCUGCACAUCACCACCCUGGAGGAGAGGGAGAAGCUGCUGUCUGCCGUUUAUAAGGAGCUGCACCCUUCCAGCCCAAUCACCCAGAGACUCGACUCUCUGCUCGAUUCGUUGGGCCCGAACAGUGUGGAGACAUUCACCGCGACAUUAGUGUCAAUGAGCAAAUCUAAGUCCUCUCCACAUGUGAGCUGCCUGAGCAUGAAUCGGCGUUCCCUAAAGCGCAGAAACACCAGCCAAACCCCCUUGGCACAGAGGAAUUCUCAGCUGAUCGAGAUAGCAAUUAAUGCAUCAGAGCGGAUAGUUCAUCUCCGAACCCCAAAGGAAACAACGGUGGGGAAAAUCAUGGAUUCAUGCAUCAAAAUGUUGGGAAUGACAGAAGACAGGAGCCUUUUCAUACUGAGAGAAAAGCAAGGUUCAUCGGAAGACCUCCCCCCAGAUCAGCUGAUCGCCAGCCUACUGACAUCGACAUCAGAGGACAGGCAGUUGGAGCUGCACUUGUGUAAAACGGACGGGUCAUCUGGAACCAUAGCAAAACAAAAUCCAGGAGUCCACAGCUCUAAUGAGAAUAACAACAUCAACAAAAAUGCCCUGGUGAACCGGCCAGCCAAAGAAGAGAGGAUCAAAGAACUAAACCAGCAGGUGGAAUCGCUCCAAAAUGUCAUCCUUCAGGUCCAGGAGCUCCACCACGGCCUGGUGGCAUUUUGCUCAGAGAUAAAGAACAUGGAUGGAGACGUGGAUGUGGACAGGCUUAGCUCCGCUGAGCUGAAGGAGAGGUCGCAGUUGGUUAAAAGCCGCCUGAAUGACAAGAGGCGGAGCCUGCAGACCCUCAGAGACAACAUUAACGACUCCACUGCUCACAAAAAGAAACAGUUGGACGUACGUCUCUUGGAAAAGAUGAAACUGAACUGCCAGGUGUUUAAGGAGGAAAUUUCCAUGGUACAUCUCAAUCGGCAGAUGGCACACCUCCAAAAUGCUUUGCAAGAAAGCUACGUUAAGGAGAAAGUUCAGAGAAAAAGUUUGGCCAUUGGUAGCCUGAGCCAGCUGGUGUCCCCGCAGUCUCCUGCCAUGCUGCUGGUUGUGCAGGAGAACCGAAACCCCGAUGGCCAGUACGGCUUCUCGUGUUGCUACAGGGAAGGCAGCGGACUACUGGUGGUCAAGGUGGAAAACUGCCAACUCUGUGUUGACGACAGGCUGGUGGAGGUGAAUGGUGUGCCGGUGGUUAACUCUACACAGGAAGAGCUGACCACCAUCUUACUGGAGGGACCCAGCGCCAAUAUUGUUGUCCUUCGCCAGCCCCCGCUCCCCCCCACCUCCGUAGUCCUGCAGCGCAUCAUCACCUCUGAUCCCGAGCAACAGCUCUCUCUUGCCGACUUAGACCGGGGUGUGGUUCCAGUUGAAACAACUCCUCGACGGAAGGUGGUGGCCAUCUGAUGAUACGACAGAGAGAGAAAAAGACCAGCGCAGAGACUUGAGGGUUAAUGAUAUCUGACUGUGGAGCCAUGCAGCGAAAUGCCCUCUUUUGUUAGUUAUUUAACUCUAAAUAUAAAUAUAUGUUAUUGAAAAUGUCAAUGUGUUGAAAUGAUAGACGUUUAGUUAGGAACAUCCAAUAGUAAUAUAGCUGUGUUGUUAUGUGACGUUUUCCUCGACUAAGCCUCAACACAUGUACACAGCGUUGUGCUUGGCAGAUAGAACAGUUAUAUUUGAUCCAUAUUGUUGCAAUGUAUACGGAGAACCAUGCCUGUGAAAAAAACUUAUUUCCAGAAAAACACAUGAAACCGAACCACAUUGACUUCUUUCUAUUUGCAUCUCCUCUUGUGCUACAUCAUAUUUUGUGCCAUGAGGGAAAAUGAAUAGUACAGGAAAGACAAGGAGGCAGAGCCUGAUAAGGACAAUGCAUGCUUCAUCUUGUACAACUAUAAUUGAAAAUAUGUGAAUCCUGUCUAUAGUUACUGUAACAUAUCGUGUAAAGAUACAUCCAAUAGCUUUGUAUCCUGUUUCUCUUAUUAGAAUAGAGACUUGUACGGCUACAACAGUAUUCGGAGCAAAAACAUGAGUCACGUCCCUUUUUUUGGAUGUUGUAAUGUAAUCCACUGUGCUGCAGGAAUAAACCCUUGGGCCCGGAAAUGCCUCAUUUCUCAGCCUUGUUCUCCCUCGUUAAGUGGCAGUGGAUCAUAGUCUGACAGAGAGAAAGCACAAACACCACCAAACCCCUGACCCAGACCCCGGGGGUCCAAAGAGCCUGAGAGGAG
Gasterosteus aculeatus aculeatus (three-spined stickleback) is the source of this 2519-nucleotide long non-coding RNA. Lineage: Eukaryota; Metazoa; Chordata; Actinopteri; Perciformes; Gasterosteidae. The record is from Ensembl.